RNAcentral lists this ribosomal RNA (556 nucleotides) under uncultured bacterium. RNAcentral's name for it is "bacterial SSU rRNA". It matches the Rfam family "Bacterial small subunit ribosomal RNA", at positions 777 to 1341 of the family's 1533-position model. The record is from RNAcentral.
AAUAGAUACCCAGGUAGUCCACGCCGUAAACGAUGGAUGCUAGCUAUUGGGGGGAAUCGACCCCCGUCCGAAGCGAAGCUAACGCGUUAAGCAUCCCGCCUGAGUAGUACGAGCGCAAGCUUAAAACUCAAAGGAAUUGACGGGGACCCGCACAAGCGGUGGAGCGUGUGGUUUAAUUCGAUGGUAAACGAAGAACCUUACCAAGGUUUGACAUCCCGGUAGCCGUUCUCCGAAAGGAGAAUUUCAUUUAGUUGGACCGGUGACAGGUGAUGCAUGGCCGUCGUCAGCUCGUGUCGUGAGAUGUUGGGUUAAGUCCCGCAACGAGCGCAACCCUUAUGAUUUAGUUGGAUUUUUCUAAACAGACUGCCCUGGUAACAGGGAGGAAGGAGGGGAUGAUGUCAGGUCAGUAUUUCCCUUACACCUUGGGCGACACACGCGCUACAAUGGCCGGUACAAUGGGCAGCUAAGCCGCGAGGUGGAGCAAAUCCCAUCAAAGCCGGUCCCAGUUCGGAUUGCAGGCUGAAACCCGCCUGCAUGAAGCCGGAAUCGCUAGUAA